Molecule: long non-coding RNA, 2691 nt
Filed under: Canis lupus familiaris (dog)
Lineage: Eukaryota; Metazoa; Chordata; Mammalia; Carnivora; Canidae
Description: lncRNA (ENSCAFG00000050467.1, ENSCAFG00845009856.1)
Source: RNAcentral
AGAUACACCUGAAUUAAAAUAUCUUGCUACUCCACCAAUGAUUAAUUCUGCAACCAUGGACAAGUCACUUAACAUUCCUGAUCCUCAUUUUCUUACCUGUACAAUGAAUAUGAUAAUAGUACCUACUUAAUGCAUGUACUUACAUAAUAAAGCACUUAGCCUAAAGCAACAUAAGCAAUUAAAACAUGUCAGCAAUAAUUACUAUUUCUUCACCCUCUGAUUUCCCCCAAAGUGUACUGCAUGUGAUUGAUAUGUACUAGACACUGAAUAAAUGUAUGUUGAAGUUCACUAAACCAACAAAGAAAUGAAUGAAAAAAAUCAAUGAACAAUCUUUGACUGAUCAUAGAAAUGCAACACUUUUCAUAUAUGUAGUUAGAAUAAUCGGCAGCCCAGAACUUGGAAGUGAAGCCUGGAUUUGAAGUCUAGUUUUACAGUUUAAUCAUGUGUCUGUAAAACAGGUUGGAGAUUCUAUUGGUAGGCUCUCCAAUACCCAUCACGCCUUCCCUUGUUGAAAGGCCCUUGAUUUUGUUCUGCUAUCAACUCAUAACUUGGGGGGGGAGGAUCAGCCUAUCCCCAUCUUGGGACAAAUCAUGGAGGUCCCAUUCCCAUUGCCAUUGACUGGAUCAGGGAUGGGAACGUGAUCCUUUCUGCUCUAAAUAUCAUCCCUCUGGCCAAGAAAUUGUGCCUGAACAGCUGCAGCCUCCAUGCAACCAACAUGAGGGAGGCAGCCUAUGGGCCAAGUCAACAAGUUUAAGGUGGCAGAGUAAAAUAAAGGUGUGAAAAAACACCUGAGUCCUCAGUAAAAUAAAAACACCUAACAUUUAAUGAAUACUUACUAUGUUUCGGGUAUUCCUCUAAAUGUCUUUAUUACCUCAUGUGAUCCUCAACACUAACACCAAGGAGGAAUGUUUUUAUCAUUGUUUUACAGAUUGAGAAACUGAGGCCUAUAGAAUUCUUGUAAUCUAUGCAAGGUCACAUAGCAUUAAGGGCUAGAGUCAGGAAUUAAACUCACAGUUGGGCACCAAAACUUAUGUUCUUUGCCUCUUUGCUUUAUUGGAUUUGGAAAUGCUAUCAAGACAGAAUCAACCAAUUCUCUCUGGGCUUGUUGCAAGAUUUAAAAUGUCUUACUAUUAAGCCAAUUGCAAUUUGACUUUUUGUUAAAAGCAGCUGAUGGCAUCCCGAUAAAUAUACUCCAAUUCUUCAUCUGUAAAGUGGGGAUACUUCUACAAGCCUGGCGGGGGCGGGGGGCAGGUGUUGCUGUUUGUAACAGAGAGUGCAAUAAGUGAUCUUCUGCAUCACCUCCUAUUGCCAGUCGUCCCCUCCGUCACAGCUUUCCAUUAGCUCACUGAACUUCUUCCAAGACCUGGGCCCAGCUCAGGUGCUUUGCGUACGUUUAGAUUUCCCCCAGAGCAAACGUGCAUAUCCUCCUAAAAUGGAAGUGACCAGGGACACCUCACAUAUGAAAACCAGCUCAUUGCUAAGCAAAGUUACUCUGCUGAUAGAUCUUUAUUAUAACGCGAACUCCUGAUUCUAGAUUUUAUUUUCUCUUCUAAUGCAACUUUUUGCUCUCUCUGUAAUUAGCUUCAAAGGCAAGUAUGUAGAGAACAGCUCAGUGGAUUAUCGCAUGCUAAAUCAGCUUAAAGGAAGGAGGUACAUCCUCAGCUCACUUUCAGGACAUAUGAGCUGAAAGCCAUAAUUUAUAGCUGUCAUAUGAAAAUAAUGAUAAAGUCAUGAAUACAAAAUUAAAAAUAACAAUUUUAGGAUCGCUUCCUCAAAGGGGUAAAGCAUGGGGGGGGGGGACAUUUAUACGUUGAUCUGUGUCAAAUCCCUGGUGAAAAAAAAGGUUUCCUCGUGGUCUAAGGAGAAAACCUUAAGCAUUUUGAUAAGCUUUUCAUAAUAGAUUAUGUCCCGCUUUAAAGGAAACUGUUCAUUACUCUAACAAGUUGGAGAACUGAAUGUAUAUUUUACAUAUUUUUCAAAUGCAUCUUUGUCAUUCUUAAUUUUUGAAACUCUCUGUAAAAGCUGAAUUAUAUAUUCAUUGCAUUUCCAAAAUCCAACUCCCUUUCCUUUUCCAUUCUAUAUCAAAAUGCUUCUCACCAUCAAUGUAAAUUUAAAUUUGUAUAGUACUUUAUAUUUUACAAAGUGCUUUUACUGUCAUUUCCUUAAGCCUCCAACAAGUCCAAAAAAGGAAGACAGGACACAUAUUCUUAUCCAAAUUGUCCAAUAAAUUAGUAAAUUUAUUUAUGCUUGUUUUCUUUCAGUCCUUCAUUUAUUCAGCCAACAUUUGUUUGACAGCCUUUAUGACCAGGCACUACUCCACGCAUUGAGGAUGCAGAAAGGAACAAAAUAGUCACUAUCAUCAGGAAAAUUACAUGUUGGCAGGAAGGCCACACAAUAAACAAGUAAAUGAGUUCAUGAAGAAGCCUAGAUUCAAACCAUGGUUGCUUAAUCACAAAUGUAGAUGCUCCCUGGUCCAAAUAAGUGCACCCAAAAGUUCUCUUUGCCAUGAAUUUUGGCAGUUUGAUUUCUUGGACUCAAAUCUCUUUGGGUUUCCAAAAGCUCCUGGAUUUUUCUUACUCCUCUGAAGAAAUUCAGUGGACAACCAUCAAAGCAGCACUUAAAAACCAGUGCAUUCAGAGCACUGUUGCAGAUAAUUAGGAAGAUUAUUCCUUAUGCCCCUCCCCCAAAACA